AUCUUAGUACGGCGAGUGACCGGGAUGAGCUCAAAUUUGAAAUCUGGCGUCUUUCAGGCGUCCGAGUUGUAAUCUAUAGAGGCGUUUUCCGCGCCGGACCGCGUCCAAGUCUCUUGGAAUAGAGUAUCAAAGAGGGUGACAAUCCCGUACUUGACGCGACAACCGGUGCUCUGUGAUACGUUCUCAAUGAGUCGAGUUGUUUGGGAAUGCAGCUCUAAAUGGGUGGUAAAUUCCAUCUAAGGCUAAAUAUUGGCGAGAGACCGAUAGCGAACAAGUACCGUGAGGGAAAGAUGAAAAGCACUUUGGAAAGAGAGUUAAACAGCACGUGAAAUUGUUAAAAGGGAAACGAUUGAAGUCAGUCGUGUGGGAAGUAUUCAGCCGUCUCUGGCGGUGUAUUUGCUUCUCACGGGUCAACAUCAGUUUGAUCCGGUAGAAAAAGGCGGGAAGAAGGUGGCACCCUCGGGUGUGUUAUAGCUUCCUGUCAUAUGUGCCGGACCAGACUGAGGAACGCAGCUUGCAGCAAUGCCGGGGUUCGCCCACGUACAAGCUUAGGAUGUUGACAUAAUGGCUUUAAACGACCCGUCUUGAA
This 589-nucleotide ribosomal RNA is filed under the name Vishniacozyma carnescens. RNAcentral's name for it is "partial large subunit ribosomal RNA". It matches the Rfam family "Eukaryotic large subunit ribosomal RNA", at positions 77 to 658 of the family's 3401-position model. The record is from RNAcentral. Lineage: Eukaryota; Fungi; Basidiomycota; Tremellomycetes; Tremellales; Bulleribasidiaceae.